GUGCUCAAUUCAGCAACACAUAUACUAAACUUAGAACAGUUCAGAGAAGACUAGUAUGGCCCUUGUGCAAGGAUGACUUAAGAUUUGCAAAGCAUUUCGUAUUUUUU
Nomascus leucogenys (northern white-cheeked gibbon) is the source of this 107-nucleotide non-coding RNA. The record is from Rfam. NCBI's taxonomy places the organism in Eukaryota, Metazoa, Chordata, Mammalia, Primates, Hylobatidae.